UCUUGGCAGUCUCAAGGAACCAGGCAAGGGGGUUGUUAACCUUCUGACGCCGCUCGGGCCUGGUCAGCGUUCCAAGGUCGCUUUCCUGUGGCCUUAGCCUUGGGAAUGAGGCUGUUGAGUUAACUUUAGCUCCUUGUGGCCGUCCAGGCGGCACUGUCUGCCACAGGGGUUACGGGACCGCGCUUUCGUAAUUUCCUAAGUUUCUGAGGAGAUGAGAGGGUCGAGACUGUCCCUGUAAGCAGAAUGAAGACCAAAAGACAUUCAGAAAGGAGAACAGACAAAAGAGAAGUGAUAGUGAACAAGAGGUAGAAAUACAAGACAGAAACAAGAUUUGGGAAAAGUUUGGGACAGAUGGAAUCUAUCAUUCGAUAAAUACAUUUAGAGGAAGCCUGAGAAAUGAUGGUACAAUUUGAAAGUGGAAAGCAGGAAUCAAAGAAGAAAGAACAAUAGACUGGCAGGAUACCAGUUCUACUCCUGGUUCUAGGAACCCAGUGCGUGACUUUGGAUGUCAGAUGAUCCAAAAGUCUCUGGAGUCCUCUGUGUGACCUUCGAGGACCCAUCAACCUGAAAACAGAGCAGGAUGCAGGUGUUUCAACCAUGGAUGCCAUAGUGAUACUGUGCUCUUCCUCUCCCCUGCCCUGCCCGCAUGAGGAAGAGUCAAGGCUGGAUGGAGCCUGAGUGUAGGGAAGGAUUUUCUCAUUAUUUGAAAGCCCAUGAAGAUCUCUAGAC
Molecule: long non-coding RNA, 729 nt
Organism: Balaenoptera musculus (blue whale)
Lineage: Eukaryota; Metazoa; Chordata; Mammalia; Artiodactyla; Balaenopteridae
Exons: 5
Source: RefSeq, a predicted model, not a curated record